AUGCCCCGCGGCAAGUCCUCCUCCGGCGGCAGCUUGUUCUACCGGAGGAAGCACUCAUGGCGCCGCGAUGAGUUAGUGAGCAGGAGCACCCUGCAUCUGCUGGACUUCGAUGACGGUACACCACCAGAACAUGCUUGGAGAAGAAAAUUAAGUAGUCACGCUAAUAGACUGAAGGAGUUCAAUGUUACGUUCAGAGAAGCAUUUAAAAUGAUGAAGCUUGGUCUCCGGCUUUGGUCAUAUGUUCGAGAAGAAGCUUCCCAGGGAAGGAAAGCACCAAUUGAUCCAUUCACGAGGGAGAGCAGCAAACCAUCAGCCUCACAAGGAGUACCCCUUGGUGGGAUGGGGACUGGUAGCAUAUCAAGAGGUUUUAGAGGGGAGUUCAAACAUUGGCAGAUAACCCCUGGUUCAUGUGAUAUGUCACCAGUGAUGGAAAACCAUUUUUCGAUCUUUAUAACUAGAGAAGGAGGAAGCAAAAAGUACUCCUCAGUUUUAGCUCCUGGUCAGCAUGAUGGUUUAAAAAAAUCUAGCGAUGAUGGCAUAUCAUCCUGGGAUUGGAAAUUAAGGGGUGCUCGUUCAACAUACCAUGCUUUGUUUCCUCGAGCAUGGACUGUUUAUGAUGGUGAACCUGAUCCUGAAUUGAAAUUAUCUUGCCGUCAAAUAUCUCCAUUUAUUCCCCACAACUAUGAAGAGAGUAGUCUCCCAGUCUCCGUUUUUGUCUACACUCUAGUGAAUACCGGAAAGGAAAGGGCACAAAGUCAGCCUAGUAAUGACCUGGGCGAUUCUAUUGGUGGACUUUCACAUCAGUCUGGUGGUCAUGUAAAUGAACCAUUCAUUGGAGAAAAUGGAAUUUCUGGUGUUCUCCUACAUCACAAGACUGCCAACAAUAAUCCUCCAGUAACAUUUGCUGUUGCUGCACAUGAAAACCAAAAUGUUGCCAACGUAAAAACUAGCCAGUCUUUUGGGUAUGAAACCCAUUUGGGCGAGAGUAGUACUAGGAUGGGUGACCUCCUGGGAAGUCCUCGUGAAAGGGUUUCAUAUCUAGCCUACCCCAACUUGUUUGGGAUAAAAGGCUUCGUAAGCAAAAAAGUAAGCAAAACAGUGUUGCCAAUUUUUGGGCUUUCUGGAGAAAGUUCAGUCACUGCUAAGGAGAUGUGGGGCACAAUGGUCCAGGGUGGUUGCUUUGACCAAGAUAAUUUCAAUGCUGGCCCCAGCAUGCCUUCUUCAGUGGGUGAUACAGUUUGUGCAGCAGUUUCUGCUUCAACCUGGGUUGAACCACAUGGAAGAUGUACGGUCGUAUUUUCGUUGGCUUGGUCUUCUCCCGAUGUUAAAUUUAAGAAGGGAAGUACGUACCACAGGAGAUAUACGAAGUUCUACGGAACUUCCCCAAGAUCUGCUAUAAACCUAGCGCAAGAUGCCUUGAUGAAGUACAAGCAUUGGGAAGAGGAAAUCGAUAAGUGGCAGACCCCAAUUCUCCGUGAUGAGAGGUUUCCAGAAUGGUACAAAAUUACUCUCUUCAAUGAGUUAUACUUCCUAGUGGCUGGAGGAACUGUUUGGAUUGACAGUGAUUUGAGUUCAAGUCUACCUGAGGACAGUGAUUUACCACUUCAUAACAGCACUUGCAACUCUACAGUUCCACUUAUUGGUUCUAGCCCACCUGAUUUUGAUGACAAAGAAAAUGUUGGGAAGUUUUUGUACCUUGAAGGAGUGGAGUACUUCAUGUGGUGCACUUACGAUGUACACUUCUAUGCUUCGUUUGCUCUGUUGGAUCUCUUUCCUAAGAUUGAGCUGAGUAUUCAACGGGACUUUGCUAGAGCUGUUUUGCGUGAAGAUAAAACUAGAGUCAGAUUUCUUGCUGAUGGUACAUGGGGCACACGCAAAGUAAUUGGUGCUGUUCCCCAUGAUCUCGGAGCACAUGAUCCUUGGCAUGAAUUGAAUGCAUACAAUAUACAUGAUACAAGUAGAUGGAAAGAUCUGAAUCCCAGGUUUGUGCUCCAAGUUUACAGGGAUUUUGCUGCAACAGACGACAUGUCAUUUGGCAAGGAUGUCUGGCCUGCAGUUUGUACUGCUAUGGAAUACAUUGAACAGUUUGAUCGUGAUGGUGAUUGUAUGAUUGAGAAUGAUGGUUUUCCUGAUCAAACUUAUGAUGCUUGGACUGUUCUUGGAGUAAGUGCCUACUGUGGUUGUCUUUGGCUUGCUGCCCUUCAAGCUGCAGCCGCAAUGGCCCGCAGCCUUGGACAUGAUGACUAUGCUGACAGGUGCAUGGUGAAAUUUGCGAAGGCUAAACACGUGUUUGAAGCCAAGUUGUGGAAUGGUUCAUAUUUCAAUUAUGACAGUGGAACAAGUUACAGUAGCCGCUCCAUCCAGGCAGAUCAGUUGGCCGGACAAUGGUACACUGCAUCAUCUGGCUUGCCACCUCUGUUUGAUGAGGACAGAAUAAAAUGCACGCUUCAGAAAAUAUUUGACUAUAAUGUGAUGAGGGUGAAAGGAGGACGCAUUGGAGCAACAUGUAUGCAGUCAAGAGAAAUCUGGACUGGAGUAACAUACAGUUUAGCUGCAACGAUGCUGCUCCACGGAAUGGAGGAUCAGGCUUUCACUACAGCGCAAGGCAUUUUUCUUGCAGGAUGGUCUAAAGAGGGCUAUGGGUAUUGGUUUCAAACUCCAGAAGCAUGGACUAUUGAUGGCCACUAUAGAUCUCUGAUAUAUAUGCGCCCGCUUGCGAUAUGGGCAAUGCAGCAUGCGCUGUCUCCUCCAAGGGCGAUCCUCGAGGCCCCAAAGGUAAAUACAAUGGAGAGGGCCUACGUUUCUCCUGGUGCGCUCCAGUUUCUCCAGGAUAGCGUCAGGAAGAUCACUCCCAAGAGUGGCUGUUUUUGA
RNAcentral lists this ribosomal RNA (2871 nucleotides) under Triticum aestivum (bread wheat). Lineage: Eukaryota; Viridiplantae; Streptophyta; Magnoliopsida; Poales; Poaceae. The record is from RNAcentral.